CGUUGAUGCCAGCCGUCGCUUGCUGGAAAGCCAGUAAGAGGAAAGUCCGGACAACGCAGCGCACCGCACCACCUAACGGGUGGGGGUUAAGGGGGCGACCCCUUAGCUACAGAGAGUGUCACAGAAAAUAAACCGUCUCCGUCCACCGGAGCCUUGGCAAGGGUGGACUUAAAACUCAAAGAACUUAGCAGGGCUUGCCCCGGCUAAAGUUUCGGCGAGUGGGAUAAGGGUGAAAACGUGCGGUAAGAGCGCACGUCGUCGGGUAGUAAUACUCGGGGAGAUAAACCUUGCGGGUUGAAAUGCCAUGUAAACGCCGAUUCCCUGUGGGUCUUCGGACCUCGACCUUAGUGUCGGGGGAGCUGGGUUGCGCGCUCAGUAAGUAAUUGUCGGCGAGGGUAGGCAGAUAGAGCCCUGGGGUGACCCUGGGCCUAGAUAAAUGACGGCCAUCCGCCACGGGCGGAUCACAGAAUCCGGCUUAUGUGCAUCAUUAAUUA
RNAcentral lists this RNase P RNA (494 nucleotides) under Bacteroidota bacterium. RNAcentral's name for it is "Bacteroidetes bacterium RNase P RNA component class A". It matches the Rfam family "Bacterial RNase P class A". Rfam says of the family: Ribonuclease P (RNase P) is a ubiquitous endoribonuclease, found in archaea, bacteria and eukarya as well as chloroplasts and mitochondria. Its best characterised activity is the generation of mature 5'-ends of tRNAs by cleaving the 5'-leader elements of precursor-tRNAs. Cellular RNase Ps are ribonucleoproteins. The record is from RNAcentral. Lineage: Bacteria; Pseudomonadati; Bacteroidota.